GAGCUGUGAGUCACCGCAGAGCCUGGAGUUGUGUCUGAAGCCACUCAAGCAGAGAGAUGGGAAGAGAGCGCCCCCUGGCUUCGAAACAGGGCCAUGAGCCACACAGGAAGCAAUGUGGUUUUCAGCAUGCUGCUUCAGGAACAGGCACGGUAAAGUGGCCCCCACUAUAACUGCCUAAACUGAUAAAGGCAUGUUUGAUUUUUAACUGAAGAUCAACAAAGUCAUUAACUCCCUGCCUCAGAGGUGACAUGCAGUCAAGAUCCCGAAAUCCCACAACCUGGUAUCCAGAUUGACUGUGGGGACAGUGGCACUUUGUUUUUUUGUUCAAAUAAAAAC
This is a non-coding RNA of Lepisosteus oculatus (spotted gar), 336 nucleotides long. The record is from RefSeq and is a predicted model, not a curated record. Lineage: Eukaryota; Metazoa; Chordata; Actinopteri; Semionotiformes; Lepisosteidae.